CCCGGAUUGAACGGCAUGUUUGAGCUCUCCCGCUGCAUUUGAGCGGGGAGCGAGUAGUGAAAGCCGGAAAAGGC
This 74-nucleotide unclassified non-coding RNA is filed under the name Kaistella chaponensis. RNAcentral describes it as "Chryseobacterium chaponense Flavo-1 RNA". The record is from RNAcentral. Lineage: Bacteria; Pseudomonadati; Bacteroidota; Flavobacteriia; Flavobacteriales; Weeksellaceae.